RNAcentral lists this ribosomal RNA (468 nucleotides) under uncultured bacterium. Its description in RNAcentral is "partial 16S ribosomal RNA". It matches the Rfam family "Bacterial small subunit ribosomal RNA", at positions 28 to 507 of the family's 1533-position model. The record is from RNAcentral.
GACGAACGCUGGCGGCGUGCUUAACACAUGCAAGUCGAACGGAAAGUCCCGGCUUUGGUGGGGUGCUCUAGUGGCGAACGGGGGAGUAACACUUAAGUAAGCUGCCAUUGACUGUGGGGUAACUUCAUGAAACUUGGGCUAAUACCGGAUAGGAUCUCCUGCUGCAUGGUGGGGGUGGGAAAGAUUCGGCGGUUGGGGGUGGACUCGCGUCUUAUCAGCUUGUUGGUGGGGUAGUGGCUUACCAAGGCUUUGAGGGGUAGCAGGCCUGAGAGGGUGACAGGCCCAACUGCGACUGAGCUGAGGCACAGCCUAGUCUGGGAGGCAGGAGUGCAGAAUAUUGUACAAUGCGCGGAAGCAUGAUGUAGCACAGCAGCGUGCGGGAUGACGGCAUUGGGGUUGUAAUCCACUUUUGCUUGUCACGAAGCGUGAGUGACGGUACUGGGUAAAGAAGCACCGGCUAACUACGUG